UACGAAGGGGGCUAGCGUUGCUCGGAAUUACUGGGCGUAAAGCGCACGUAGGCGGAUCGUUAAGUCAGGGGUGAAAUCCUGGAGCUCAACUCCAGAACUGCCUUUGAUACUGGCGACCUUGAGUUCGGGAGAGGUGAGUGGAACUGCGAGUGUAGAGGUGAAAUUCGUAGAUAUUCGCAAGAACACCAGUGGCGAAGGCGGCUCACUGGCCCGAUACUGACGCUGAGGUGCGAAAGCGUGGGGAGCAAACAGG
RNAcentral lists this ribosomal RNA (253 nucleotides) under uncultured bacterium. RNAcentral's name for it is "partial 16S ribosomal RNA". It matches the Rfam family "Bacterial small subunit ribosomal RNA", at positions 524 to 776 of the family's 1533-position model. The record is from RNAcentral.